This 81-nucleotide non-coding RNA is filed under the name Aliicoccus persicus. RNAcentral describes it as "TPP riboswitch (THI element)". It matches the Rfam family "TPP riboswitch aptamer (THI element)", at positions 6 to 98 of the family's 105-position model. Rfam says of the family: Vitamin B(1) in its active form thiamin pyrophosphate (TPP) is an essential coenzyme that is synthesised by coupling of pyrimidine and thiazole moieties in bacteria. The record is from RNAcentral. Lineage: Bacteria; Bacillati; Bacillota; Bacilli; Caryophanales; Staphylococcaceae.
UACCACUAGGGGUGCCUGAACGGGCUGAGACUCACCCUUAUUACCUGAUCUAGAUCAUACUAGCGUAGGGAAGUGGCAUAU